GACGAACGCUGGCGGCGUGCCUAAUACAUGCAAGUUGAGCGAUGAAGAUUGGUGCUUGCACCAAUUUGAAGAGCAGCGAACGGGUGAGUAACGCGUGGGGAAUCUGCCUUUGAGCGGGGGACAACAUUUGGAAACGAAUGCUAAUACCGCAUAACAACUUUAAACAUAAGUUUUAAGUUUGAAAGAUGCAAUUGCAUCACUCAAAGAUGAUCCCGCGUUGUAUUAGCUAGUUGGUGAGGUAAAGGCUCACCAAGGCGAUGAUACAUAGCCGACCUGAGAGGGUGAUCGGCCACAUUGGGACUGGGACACGGCCCAAACUCCUACGGGAGGCAGCAGUAGGGAAUCUUCGGCAAUGGACGAAAGUCUGACCGAGCAACGCCGCGUGAGUGAAGAAGGUUUUCGGAUCGUAAAACUCUGUUGGUAGAGAAGAACGUUGGUGAGAGUGGAAAGCUCAUCAAGUGACGGUAACUACCCAGAAAGGGACGGCUAACUACGUG
Molecule: ribosomal RNA, 497 nt
Filed under: uncultured bacterium
Lineage: Bacteria
Description: partial 16S ribosomal RNA
Rfam family: Bacterial small subunit ribosomal RNA
Source: RNAcentral